RNAcentral lists this ribosomal RNA (879 nucleotides) under Sphaerulina sp. CPC 13566. RNAcentral describes it as "eukaryotic LSU rRNA". It matches the Rfam family "Eukaryotic large subunit ribosomal RNA", at positions 35 to 943 of the family's 3401-position model. Lineage: Eukaryota; Fungi; Ascomycota; Dothideomycetes; Mycosphaerellales; Mycosphaerellaceae. The record is from RNAcentral.
UAAGCAUAUCAAUAAGCGGAGGAAAAGAAACCAACAGGGAUUGCCCUAGUAACGGCGAGUGAAGCGGCAACAGCUCAAAUUUGAAAUCUGGCGCAAGCCCGAGUUGUAAUUUGUAGAGGAUGCUUCUGGGUAGCGACCGGUCUAAGUUCCUUGGAACAGGACGUCAUAGAGGGUGAGAAUCCCGUAUGUGACCGGCCCGCACCCUUUACGUAGCUCCUUCGACGAGUCGAGUUGUUUGGGAAUGCAGCUCUAAAUGGGAGGUAAAUUUCUUCUAAAGCUAAAUACCGGCCAGAGACCGAUAGCGCACAAGUAGAGUGAUCGAAAGAUGAAAAGUACUUUGGAAAGAGAGUUAAAAAGCACGUGAAAUUGUUGAAAGGGAAGCGCCUGCAAUCAGACUUCGCGGCAGUGUUCCGCCGGUCUUCUGACCGGUCUACUCUCUGUCGCGAGGCCAUCAUCGUCUCGGCCCGCUGGAUAAGACCUUGGGAAUGUAGCUCACCUUCGGGGGAGUGUUAUAGCUCACGGUGAUGCAGCGAGGCUGGGGCGAGGUCCGCGCCUCGGCAAGGAUGAUGGCGUAAUGGUUGUCGGCGGCCCGUCUUGAAACACGGACCAAGGAGUCUAACAUCUAUGCGAGUGUUCGGGUGUCAAACCCCUACGCGUAAUGAAAGUGAACGGAGGUGGGAACCGCAAGGUGCACCAUCGACCGAUCCUGAUGUCCUCGGAUGGAUUUGAGUAAGAGCAUAGCUGUUGGGACCCGAAAGAUGGUGAACUAUGCCUGAAUAGGGUGAAGCCAGAGGAAACUCUGGUGGAGGCUCGCAGCGGUUCUGACGUGCAAAUCGAUCGUCAAAUUUGGGUAUAGGGGCGAAAGACUAAUCGAACCAU